GGUGAACGCUGGCGGCGUGCCUAAUACAUGCAAGUCGAGCGAACAGACGAGGAGCUUGCUCCUCUGACGUUAGCGGCGGACGGGUGAGUAACACGUGGAUAACCUACCUAUAAGACUGGGAUAACUUCGGGAAACCGGAGCUAAUACCGGAUAAUAUAUUGAACCGCAUGGUUCAAUAGUGAAAGACGGUUUUGCUGUCACUUAUAGAUGGAUCCGCGCCGCAUUAGCUAGUUGGUAAGGUAACGGCUUACCAAGGCAACGAUGCGUAGCCGACCUGAGAGGGUGAUCGGCCACACUGGAACUGAGACACGGUCCAGACUCCUACGGGAGGCAGCAGUAGGGAAUCUUCCGCAAUGGGCGAAAGCCUGACGGAGCAACGCCGCGUGAGUGAUGAAGGUCUUCGGAUCGUAAAACUCUGUUAUUACGGAAGAACAAAUGUGUAAGUAACUAUGCACGUCUUGACGGUACCUAAUCAGAAAGCCACGGCUAACUACGUG
Molecule: ribosomal RNA, 497 nt
Filed under: uncultured bacterium
Lineage: Bacteria
Description: partial 16S ribosomal RNA
Rfam family: Bacterial small subunit ribosomal RNA
Source: RNAcentral